GAUCAUGGCUCAGGAUGAACGCUGGCGGCGUGCUUAACACAUGCAAGUCGAACGGGAAACUUUUUAUUGAAGCUUCGGUAGAUUUAGAUUGUUUCUAGUGGCGGACGGGUGAGUAACGCGUGGGUAACCUGCCUUAUACAGGGGGAUAACAGUCAGAAAUGACUGCUAAUACCGCAUAAGCGCACGGAACCGCAUGGUUCAGUGUGAAAAACUCCGGUGGUAUAAGAUGGACCCGCGUUGGAUUAGCUGG
RNAcentral lists this ribosomal RNA (250 nucleotides) under uncultured bacterium. RNAcentral's name for it is "partial 16S ribosomal RNA". It matches the Rfam family "Bacterial small subunit ribosomal RNA", at positions 15 to 248 of the family's 1533-position model. The record is from RNAcentral.